This 496-nucleotide ribosomal RNA is filed under the name uncultured bacterium. RNAcentral describes it as "partial 16S ribosomal RNA". It matches the Rfam family "Bacterial small subunit ribosomal RNA", at positions 29 to 523 of the family's 1533-position model. The record is from RNAcentral.
AUUGAACGCUGGCGGCAUGCCUUACACAUGCAAGUCGAACGGUAGAGGGGGCAACCCCUUGAGAGUGGCGAACGGGUGAGUAAUGCAUCGGAACGUGCCCAGUCGUGGGGGAUAGCCCGGGGAAACCCGGAUUAAUACCGCAUACGACCUGAGGGUGAAAGCGGGGGACCGAAAGGCCUCGCGCGAUUGGAGCGGCCGAUGUCGGAUUAGGUAGUUGGUGGGGUAAAGGCCUACCAAGCCUGCGAUCCGUAGCUGGUCUGAGAGGACGACCAGCCACACUGGGACUGAGACACGGCCCAGACUCCUACGGGAGGCAGCAGUGGGGAAUUUUGGACAAUGGGCGCAAGCCUGAUCCAGCCAUGCCGCGUGCGGGAAGAAGGCCUUCGGGUUGUAAACCGCUUUUGUCAGGGAAGAAAUCCUUUGGACUAAUACUCUGGGGGGAUGACGGUACCUGAAGAAUAAGCACCGGCUAACUACGUGCCAGCAGCCGCAGUAA